Long non-coding RNA from Rhipicephalus microplus (southern cattle tick), 170 nucleotides. Lineage: Eukaryota; Metazoa; Arthropoda; Arachnida; Ixodida; Ixodidae. The record is from RefSeq and is a predicted model, not a curated record.
GCUGCAAUGCUCUAUUUUUUUCAGAUCCUGACAAUCCUUUUACAGCAACCGUUCCUUACACUGACUACAGGAAGUGCUUCAUUCUGAAAAGUGGAGAUCUCGGAGGCCAGUGCAUGCUAUGGGUCAACAAUGCAUAUAAGGACAACUACCCUCGUAAGUGCGUACGAAAA